UAGUCUUAUUCAGGAUCGAACUGAAAUCUCUAUGUCCCUAACAUAGUAUUCUCCCAUUAAACUAUAAGACC
RNAcentral lists this transfer RNA (71 nucleotides) under Terrestrivirus sp. RNAcentral describes it as "tRNA-Pro". Lineage: Varidnaviria; Bamfordvirae; Nucleocytoviricota; Megaviricetes; Imitervirales; Mimiviridae. The record is from RNAcentral.